This is a long non-coding RNA of Equus quagga, 641 nucleotides long. RefSeq lists it as uncharacterized. Lineage: Eukaryota; Metazoa; Chordata; Mammalia; Perissodactyla; Equidae. The transcript is spliced from 3 exons. The record is from RefSeq and is a predicted model, not a curated record.
CCUACAGUCCAUUGGCCAAAAUGGGUCAGGCAGCCAUGCCCAAAGUCAAAGAGCAGGAAAGAUUACUCUACCUCGAGUGGGAGGGACUGCCACGUCACAGAAAGGGAUAUGGACACAGGGAGGAGUGGCAAGAAUUAGGACCAAUAAUUCAGUCCACCACAGAGUGGUGAAACAUGUUCACUGCCACUGGGAGACCCGAUGAGACAAGGACCGUGAACUGGCCACUAAUCUAGUCAAGACGUAGGGCACUGGCAUUCUUGGUAGGAGGUAUUACAAUAGAAUGGUGGAUCCGAGAACAGCGCAAGGAAGUUAAGAGUGUUUGCAGGGGAUUUCGCGUGCUGGAUUAUGAAAUCUCAGCUGGCUGAGAAGUGAAGACCUGAAGGGAGAUAAAUCCUGAAGAAACCGCAGAGCGAUGGCCUGGAAGUCUCUGAGAGAGGAAGAGUUAUUACGUGCUGAGAAGAGCUAAGUUAUCUACAUAACAAAGCAAUGCAGUGGGACGAGGAAGAGGUCCAGAGCAGGGAAAAGUCAGGAGCGUGUUCAGACUGUAGCCCAUUCGAGGCUGUGGAGCAGCUACAGGGCAGAGAAAACUGGGCUUGGAGGAAGAAGCCUCUGAGAGGGGCCGAUGUGAUUACAACCUGGAG